CCAACGGCCCUCUUUAGGGCCACAUAUUAUAAAAAUCCUCCAAUAU
Caenorhabditis tropicalis is the source of this 46-nucleotide non-coding RNA. NCBI's taxonomy places the organism in Eukaryota, Metazoa, Nematoda, Chromadorea, Rhabditida, Rhabditidae. The record is from Rfam.